This 235-nucleotide ribosomal RNA is filed under the name uncultured bacterium. RNAcentral's name for it is "partial 16S ribosomal RNA". It matches the Rfam family "Bacterial small subunit ribosomal RNA", at positions 120 to 354 of the family's 1533-position model. The record is from RNAcentral.
AGCAAUCUGCCUUGAAGUGGGGAAUAACGGCUGGAAACAGCCGCUAAUACCGCAUGAUACAGUUGGGAGGCAUCUCUCUGACUGUCAAAGAUUUAUCGCUCUGAGAUGAGCUCGCGUCUGAUUAGCUGGUUGGCGGGGUAACGGCCCACCAAGGCGACGAUCAGUAGCCGGACUGAGAGGUUGGCCGGCCACAUUGGGACUGAGACACGGCCCAGACUCCUACGGGAGGCAGCAG